This 403-nucleotide unclassified non-coding RNA is filed under the name soil metagenome. RNAcentral's name for it is "partial contains 5.8S ribosomal RNA, internal transcribed spacer 2, and large subunit ribosomal RNA". The stretch from base 1 to 121 matches the Rfam family "5.8S ribosomal RNA", at positions 35 to 154 of the family's 154-position model. The record is from RNAcentral.
GAUGAAGAACGCAGCGAAAUGCGAUAAGUAAUGUGAAUUGCAGAAUUCAGUGAAUCAUCGAAUCUUUGAACGCACCUUGCGCCCUUUGGCUAUUCCGAAGGGCAUGCCUGUUUGAGUAUCAUGAACACCUCAACUCUUCACGGCUUGCCGUGAUGAGUUUGGACUUUGGGGGUCUUGCUGGCCUACGAGCCAGCUCCUCUCAAAUGUAUUAGCUUGCCGGUGUUUGGUGGCAUCACAGGUGUGAUAACUAUCUACGCUUGUGGUUUUCCGCUAGGUAACCUUCAGCAAUGGAGGUUCACCGGAGCUCACAAAUGUCUCUCCUUGCCAAGGACAGAUUUUGACCAUUUGAUCUCAAAUCAGGUAGGACUACCCGCUGAACUUAAGCAUAUCAAUAAGCGGAGGA